AACGAACGCUGGCGGCAUGCCUAACACAUGCGAGUCGAACGAAGGCUUCGGCCUUAGUGGCGCACGGGUGCGUAACGCGUGGGAAUCUGCCCUUUGCUUCGGAAUAACAGUUAGAAAUGACUGCUAAUACCGGAUGAUGUCGCAAGACCAAAGAUUUAUCGGCAAAGGAUGAGCCCGCGUAGGAUUAGCUAGUUGGUGGGGUAAAGGCCUACCAAGGCGACGAUCCUUAGCUGGUCUGAGAGGAUGAUCAGCCACACUGGGACUGAGACACGGCCCAGACUCCUACGGGAGGCAGCAGUGGGGAAUAUUGGACAAUGGGCGAAAGCCUGAUCCAGCAAUGCCGCGUGAGUGAUGAAGGCCUUAGGGUUGUAAAGCUCUUUUACCCGGGAUGAUAAUGACAGUACCGGGAGAAUAAGCUCCGGCUAACUCCGUG
Molecule: ribosomal RNA, 433 nt
Filed under: uncultured bacterium
Lineage: Bacteria
Description: partial 16S ribosomal RNA
Rfam family: Bacterial small subunit ribosomal RNA
Source: RNAcentral